ACGGAAUUCCCGUUCCCACCUUGGAACGGGAGAUGAAGAGGAAGGUCUUGGAUCAUCCCAGAAAAAAAAACGGGAUCAUCUCCAGGAGAGCGCCCAACGCCACCCACCCCCCUUCCCAAGCCGCCAUUUUGUCACCCCAAAAUGGAAUUUUCCCGGGAUUUUUCUGCCCCUUUCCCACGGAAUUCCCGCUCCCACCUUGGAACAGGAGAUGAAGAGGAAACUCUGGGAUCAUCCCAGAAAAAAAAACAGGAUCAGCUCCAGGAUCACCUCCAGGAGAGCGCCAACCACCCCCCUUCCCAAGCCGCCAUUUUGUCACCCCAAAAUGGAAUUUUCCCGGGAUUUUUCCGCCCCUUUCCCACGGAAUUCCCGCUCCCACCUUGGAACGGGAGAUGAAGAGGAAGCAGCCGGCCAGGAGCAGCCCCUGGAGCGUGGCCUGGAGGUCGCUGAACUUGACCCCCUGCAGGAAGAGCACGCUCUGGCUGUAGGCCAGCACCAGCGCGUUCAGCGCCAGGAUCUUGAACAUCUGCAGCGUGGUCACCAGCGUGCAGCGGCCCUGCUUGAUCACGUGGCAAACUGCGGGGGAAAAAACGGGAAAAAACGGGAAUUCCGGGAAUUUACGGGGUUCUGGGAAGCAGGGGGAAGGAG
This 645-nucleotide long non-coding RNA is filed under the name Chloebia gouldiae (Gouldian finch). RNAcentral describes it as "Erythrura gouldiae (Gouldian finch) lncRNA (ENSEGOG00005010958.1)". Lineage: Eukaryota; Metazoa; Chordata; Aves; Passeriformes; Passeridae. The record is from RNAcentral.